This 505-nucleotide ribosomal RNA is filed under the name uncultured bacterium. RNAcentral describes it as "partial 16S ribosomal RNA". It matches the Rfam family "Bacterial small subunit ribosomal RNA", at positions 30 to 523 of the family's 1533-position model. The record is from RNAcentral.
AUUGAACGCUGGCGGCAGGCCUAACACAUGCAAGUCGAACGGUAACAGGAAACAGCUUGCUGUUUCGCUGACGAGUGGCGGACGGGUGAGUAAUGUCUGGGAAACUGCCUGAUGGAGGGGGAUAACUACUGGAAACGGUAGCUAAUACCGCAAAACGUCGCAAGACCAAGAGGGGGACCUUCGGGCCUCUUGCCAUCGGAUGUGCCCAGAUGGGAUUAGCUAGUAGGUGGGGUAACGGCUCACCUAGGCGACGAUCCCUAGCUGGUCUGAGAGGAUGACCAGCCACACUGGAACUGAGACACGGUCCAGACUCCUACGGGAGGCAGCAGUGGGGAAUAUUGCACAAUGGGCGCAAGCCUGAUGCAGCCAUGCCGCGUGUAUGAAGAAGGCCUUCGGGUUGUAAAGUACUUUCAGCGGGGAGGAAGGGAGUAAAGUUAAUACCUUUGCUCAUUGACGUUACCCGCAGAAGAAGCACCGGCUAACUCCGUGCCAGCCGCCGCCGUAA